RNAcentral lists this ribosomal RNA (770 nucleotides) under Thermoprotei archaeon enrichment culture. RNAcentral describes it as "bacterial SSU rRNA". It matches the Rfam family "Archaeal small subunit ribosomal RNA", at positions 102 to 856 of the family's 1478-position model. Lineage: Archaea; Thermoproteati; Thermoproteota; Thermoprotei. The record is from RNAcentral.
GGUCAAUCUACCCUCAGGACGGAGAUAACCUCGGGAAACUGAGGCUAAUAUCCGAUAGAUAAUGGAUCCUGGAAUGGUUCAUUAUUCAAACGGCACAUUGCUCAUGCGUAGUGUGUCGCCUGAGGAUGAGACUGCACCCUAUCAGGUAGUUGGUGGGGUAAUGGCCCACCAAGCCUAUAACGGGUACGGGCCCUGAGAGGGGGAGCCCGGAGAUGGGCACUGAGACAAGGGCCCAGGCCCUACGGGGCGCAGCAGGCGCGAAACCUCUGCAAUGCGCGAAAGCGCGACAGGGCCACCCCGAGUGCUAGCCGCUGAGGUUAGCUUUUCCUUAGUGUAGUAAGCUAAGGGAAUAAGCGGGGGGCAAGCCUGGUGUCAGCCGCCGCGGUAAUACCAGCUCCGCGAGUGGUCGGGACGAUUAUUGGGCCUAAAGCGUCCGUAGCCGGCCUAUCAAGUCUCUGGUUAAACCUCAAGGCUCAACCUUGAGAUUGCUGGAGAUACUGUUAGGCUAGGGGGCGGGAGAGGUUGAGGGUACUUCGCGGGUAGGGGCGAAAUCCUAUAAUCCGCGAAGGACCACCAGUGGCGAAGGCGCUCAACUGGAACGCGCCCGACGGUGAGGGACGAAAGCCAGGGGAGCAAAGGGGAUUAGAUACCCCCGUAGUCCUGGCUGUAAACGAUGCGGGCUAGGUGUUGGGUUGGCUUCGUGCCAACCCGGUGCCGCAGUGAAGACGAUAAGCCCGCCGCCUGGGAAGUACGGCUGCAAGGCUGAAACU